GCCAGCAGCCGCGGUAAUACAGAGGGUGCAAGCGUUAUUCGGAAUUACUGGGCGUAAAGCGCGCGUAGGCGGAUAAUUAAGUCAGUUGUGAAAGCCCUGGGCUCAACCUAGGAACUGCAUCUGAUACUGAUUGUCUAGAGUUUAAGAGAGGGAAGUGGAAUUCCAGGUGUAGCAGUGAAAUGCGUAGAUAUCUGGAGGAACAUCAGUGGCGAAGGCGACUUCCUGGCUUAAAACUGACGCUGAGGUGCGAAAGCGUGGGUAGCGAACGGGAUUAGAUACCCCGGUAGUCCACGCCGUAAACGAUGUCAACUAGUUGUUGGUCUUAUUAAAAAGAUUAGUAACGAAGCUAACGCGAUAAGUUGACCGCCUGGGGAGUACGGUCGCAAGAUUAAAACUCAAAGGAAUUGAC
RNAcentral lists this ribosomal RNA (409 nucleotides) under uncultured bacterium. Its description in RNAcentral is "bacterial SSU rRNA". It matches the Rfam family "Bacterial small subunit ribosomal RNA", at positions 507 to 914 of the family's 1533-position model. The record is from RNAcentral.